This 780-nucleotide ribosomal RNA is filed under the name uncultured Tricholoma. Its description in RNAcentral is "eukaryotic LSU rRNA". The stretch from base 275 to 428 matches the Rfam family "5.8S ribosomal RNA". The record is from RNAcentral. Lineage: Eukaryota; Fungi; Basidiomycota; Agaricomycetes; Agaricales; Tricholomataceae.
CAAGGUUUCCGUAGGUGAACCUGCGGAAGGAUCAUUAUUGAAUAAGCUUGGUUGGGUUGCUGCUGGCUCUUCGGGGCAUGUGCACGCCUAACACCAAUCUUCUUACCACCUGUGCACCUUUUGUAGACCUGGAUAUCUCUCGAGGAAACUCGGUAUGAGGACUGCUGUGUGUCAAAGCCGGCUUUCCUUACAUUUCCGGUCUAUGUCUUCAUAUACACCAUUUGUAUGACCAUGAAUGUUAUAUCGGACUUGACUGUCCAAAUAAACUUAAUACAACUUUCAACAACGGAUCUCUUGGCUCUCGCAUCGAUGAAGAACGCAGCGAAAUGCGAUAAGUAAUGUGAAUUGCAGAAUUCAGUGAAUCAUCGAAUCUUUGAACGCACCUUGCGCUCCUUGGUAUUCCGAGGAGCAUGCCUGUUUGAGUGUCAUGAAAUUCUCAACCUUUUCGGCUUUUUCUAAGUUGAUCAGGCUUGGAUGUGGGAGUUUGCGGGCUUCUUUGAAGUCGGCUCUCCUUAAAUUCAUUAGUAGGGACCUCUGUUGCCUUAGCUUUUGGUGUGAUAAUUAUCUACGCCAUCAUGUGAAGCAGCUUUAAUUUUGGAGGUUACUGCUUUCUAACCGUCUCCUAUGGGACAUUUUCUGACAAUUUGACCUCAAAUCAGGUAGGACUACCCGCUGAACUUAAGCAUAUCAAUAAGCGGAGGAAAAGAAACUAACAAGGAUUCCCCUAGUAACUGCGAGUGAAGCGGGAAAAGCUCAAAUUUAAAAUCUGAGGGUCUUACG